UGGGGAAUUUUGGACAAUGGGCGAAAGCCUGAUCCAGCAAUGCCGCGUGUGUGAAGAAGGCCUUCGGGUUGUAAAGCACUUUUGUCCGGAAAGAAAUGGCUCUGGUUAAUACCUGGGGUCGAUGACGGUACCGGAAGAAUAAGGACCGGCUAACUACGUGCCAGCAGCCGCGGUAAUACGUAGGGUCCAAGCGUUAAUCGGAAUUACUGGGCGUAAAGCGUGCGCAGGCGGUUGUGCAAGACCGAUGUGAAAUCCCCGAGCUUAACUUGGGAAUUGCAUUGGUGACUGCACGGCUAGAGUGUGUCAGAGGGGGGUAGAAUUCCACGUGUAGCAGUGAAAUGCGUAGAGAUGUGGAGGAAUACCGAUGGCGAAGGCAGCCCCCUGGGAUAACACUGACGCUCAUGCACGAAAGCGUGGGGAGCAAACAGGAUUAGAUACCCUGGUAGUCCACGCCCUAAACGAUGUCAACUAGUUGUUGGGGAUUCAUUUCCUUAGUAACGUAGCUAACGCGUGAAGUUUGACCGCCUGGGGAGUACGGUCGCAAGAUUAAAAACUCAAAAGGAUUUGACGGGGGCUGCAUU
Molecule: ribosomal RNA, 581 nt
Filed under: uncultured bacterium
Lineage: Bacteria
Description: partial 16S ribosomal RNA
Rfam family: Bacterial small subunit ribosomal RNA
Source: RNAcentral